AAGACUAUGCUUUCAGGGAUCAUUUCUAUAGUUUAUCACUAGAGAAAUUUCUCUAAUCCUGUACAGCACCAGAAACCAUGAGAAGGUUUCUGAGUGAACUCAGCAUGAAGCUGGCUCUUGGUAUUGCUUCGCUGCCACAGCCAUUUGGUAUUGCUUCACUGCCACAGCCAUUUGCCACUGAUGAUGGUUCUUCUUUUCCUCUGGAAGAGCAAGAGGGAGAGAAUGUAGUCUGAGUGGU
RNAcentral lists this small nucleolar RNA (238 nucleotides) under Carlito syrichta (Philippine tarsier). Its description in RNAcentral is "Small nucleolar RNA U3 (ENSTSYG00000022365.2)". It matches the Rfam family "Small nucleolar RNA U3". From Rfam's summary of the family: Small nucleolar RNAs (snoRNAs) are involved in the processing and modification of rRNA in the nucleolus. Lineage: Eukaryota; Metazoa; Chordata; Mammalia; Primates; Tarsiidae. The record is from Rfam by way of RNAcentral.